RNAcentral lists this microRNA precursor (168 nucleotides) under Pelobates cultripes (western spadefoot toad). The record is from RNAcentral. Lineage: Eukaryota; Metazoa; Chordata; Amphibia; Anura; Pelobatidae.
GCAGACACAUUCCAGCCAAUCAGCAGCAGACCCUCCCUCCCAGACCCUCCCACCUCCUAGACAUCUCAAUAAGAAUGCAGCUUCACAAUGAAUGUAAAAUGGAUGCUGUCCAGGAGGUGGGAGGGCCUGGGAGGGAGGGUCUGCUGCUGAUUGGCUGGAAUGUGUCUG